GGGCUUGUACUGGUUUCGACGGGGAUUUUGAAGUUACGGAAGCCAUUGGUGGCGGGGACCACCUAAAAACUCCAAAAAAAAAUAAACGCUGAAGAUAAUUUAGCACUCGCUGCCUAAUAUGGCAGCUGUCAGACCUGGCGCACCUACACGCUAGGACCCUGGCAUCGACUAUGUAGGAAACGAUGCAUCCUAAGCUUUGCGGAUGUAGGCGUA
Molecule: transfer-messenger RNA, 213 nt
Filed under: Lachnospiraceae bacterium
Lineage: Bacteria; Bacillati; Bacillota; Clostridia; Lachnospirales; Lachnospiraceae
Description: partial transfer-messenger RNA
Rfam family: transfer-messenger RNA
About the family: Bacterial tmRNA, also known as 10Sa RNA or SsrA, is named for its dual tRNA and mRNA-like properties.
Source: RNAcentral